This 125-nucleotide small RNA is filed under the name Marmota monax (woodchuck). Lineage: Eukaryota; Metazoa; Chordata; Mammalia; Rodentia; Sciuridae. The record is from RNAcentral.
GCCAGGCAUGGUGGCGCACACCUGUAAUCCCAGCAGCUCAGGAGGCUGAGGUACGAGGAUUGCGAGUUCAUAGCCAGCCUCAGCAAUAGUGAAGCACUAAGCAACUCAGUGAGACCCUGUCUCCA